GCACUUCACUUUCCUCCAAUAGUCUUGGCCUAGCUAGCUUCUGGGGACUCUUUGUCAUAGCUGCGGUUGCUGCAAUUUUGACUCUCCUCAUCUUUCUGACAAAAUUCAUGCAUGAGUAUUGGCACAUCAUAAAACGAACUAAUCUUUCGUUCCGUGAAAGAGUCAGAAUCUUGGCUAGAAAGUUCGACAGAAAAGACUAUAGCUGUCAUACUUUCAAGAAGAGUGAACUAAGAGAUGCAAUGAGAGAUUCAGCACGUAUGGAUUGUUCACAAAGUCCACAUGAUAACUUGUCAAUGCUAUCUUCCCCACGAACGAAUGGACCGCCAAGUCCAAGCAUUUCUAGUUACACAGAGCAGAGUUUUCAUUUUCCAGGAGAGGUAGGAACUCCUCCUUUACAUGAAGAGAAUGUAGCAGUUAGUACUCAGGAGAGCGUCAUUGAGUUGGCUGUUGAUCUAAGUGCGGGACAUUGAUGUUUUCUCUUUUCUAGCUUUUGAUUUGUAUAUUGGUGUAGAAAUGGAUUAUGAUGGUUUUAGUAUUCGUAAGCCUCUAACAUCAUCUUACAUAGUAUUAAAUUCAUUUUUACUUCCUCCACUGUCCAAAAGAACAAAUCAGAUAAUAUUAGAUCGAUUUGAGAACAAAUCAGAUAAUAUUAGAUCGAUUUGAUCAAAGAGAAUAACCAAUGACUCUGAUCUUGGAACUGCAAUGGACAUGUUUUCCAUUAACUUCAAUAUGUCUAAGUUUUAGUUCAAUUACACACUCUCCUUCUACUACAACUACAGGUUCAACGCCUAAGCCAUAUACAGAAUCUAAUACUUUCCAACAGUAUUUCGUCAUUUAUAGCAUUAUCGUCUAUGAAGUGUCUCAGGCUACUAUGAUAGAACGUAAUUCGCAACAGGUCACAAAUAAGAACGAGUAAUUCACAUAAAAUCUCAUGUACAAGUAGUCAAUUACACAUAGUACUCAACAAAUACUAGAAAUAGAGAGGGUUCCCACUCACCUCAAGCUACAACUAUGGCACCCGAGCCUCAAACACGAUCUCCCAUGUCAUCCUGUAGAAUUUUGUUAAUCUAACAAUAACACAAGAUAAUCCAUCAAUUCGAGUCAUAGGGUACAAGUAUAAACCAAAAAAACCCAGAAUCAACCACACUUAUGCCUUAGGUUUUGAGCUCCUUCUAAAUCCUCCAGUACUAACUCAUCAUCACUCAAACAACUAAAAUACACCAAUUGAAGUGAUUCCACAAUUAAAACUCAUUUAUAAUGUUAAUCAACUCUAUUACUAGAAAUUAUAAGGCCCACCGAUUCACAACCCUAAUGCCAAUUUCUCUAUUUAAUUAUCCAAAUUCUAACUUUUAUUUGAAAAAAGAAAUACUUUUUUUGGGGUAUAUAAAUGACAAGCAAGCAACGAAGAGAGAAGGGAAAACUAAAGAAAAUGGAAAGCUUACUUACGGGUGCGUCAAUGGCGAGGAAAGCGUAUGGCAGAAGGCAAAUUUUGUUUGCCUGUGUAUGAAUUUCGUCGGCAACUCUUAACCCCUCUACCCUUUCUUUAGCUUUUCAUUUUUGUUUGAAAUUUCCUUCCCG
RNAcentral lists this long non-coding RNA (1578 nucleotides) under Nicotiana benthamiana. Its description in RNAcentral is "long non-coding RNA (NBEN_LNC011453)". The record is from RNAcentral. Lineage: Eukaryota; Viridiplantae; Streptophyta; Magnoliopsida; Solanales; Solanaceae.